Chiroxiphia lanceolata (lance-tailed manakin) is the source of this 3849-nucleotide RNA transcript. It is a transcript of the gene named rap1 GTPase-activating protein 1-like, with no coding region annotated. The record is from RefSeq and is a predicted model, not a curated record. Lineage: Eukaryota; Metazoa; Chordata; Aves; Passeriformes; Pipridae. The transcript is spliced from 24 exons.
AGCUGCUCCUGCACUGUCCGUGGACUCCCCACAACCCAGGGCUCUAGGGGGAACCCAUUUUCCACAGCGGAGGAGGGGCAGGAGUCACCAACCCAUCCCCCUUUAUCUCAUCUUCCUCCAUCCCUCCUCCUCCUCCUUCUCGUCCUUCCCUGAGCCGCUGCCGGCUGGGGCCCGGUGCCAGCCGUGGGGGUCCCUUCGCUGUCUCUCUGGUGAAUCCCGGCCUGGGAGGAAGAGGAGGGGUGGGGGCGGGAGCCGCGGCUUCGCGGGGGGCCAGGAGGGAGCCUGAGUCUUUCUCCAUGGCGAGGCCGGGGGAGAGGAAGCUCCCGAGGAGGGAACCCGGGAGCUGACUCAGCGGAGCAGUGCAGCAUGUUUUCCCGGGAGCACGGCUUCCCUGCCGGAGCCUGCGGAGGGAGGUCUGAGGAGGUAGCGCAGUGCUUCAGCAAUGUUAUAGACUCUCCCACUGAAGGCUUUCCAUGUGCCCUCACUCCGGCUGUCCCCAACAAGACUGUGGACUUGUUUGAGAUGAUUGAAAAAAUGCAGGGGAGUCGUCUGGAUGAACAAAGAUGUUCCCUUCCAGCUCCUCUCAAGACAGAAGAGGAGUAUAUUCCUUACCCCAGCAUCCAUGAGGUAUUACAGAAAGGGUGGCCAUAUCCUCUCAUUAUCUUACCCCAGUUUGGGGGCUACUGGAUUGAAGGGACCAGCCACAACCUGUCCAGCUUGAGUCCAACUCUGUCUGAUGUACCCUUUCCCUGGAGUGGUAAAGUGAAACUGGAAAGUGACCCUACAGCCAAGCUGUACCGCAAACAUUUUCUGGGAAAGGAGCACCAGAACUUUUACUCCAGUGACAUGUCCUUGGGCUACCUAGUACUUUCUGUGAAGUAUGAACAGAUUGAGAAACAGGAAAAUCUACGCCUGUUGCUGAGGACUCGUACUGGCACCAAACAUGACCUAAUCCCCAUUUCCUGUCUGAAUGAGUUUCCCAAUGCUGUCCAGAUGGCAAAGCUACUGUGUGAGGAUGUGAAUGUUGAACGCUUCUUUCCUGUCCUCUAUCCCAAGGCUUCGCAGCUUAUUGUUGCAUUUGAUGAACAUGUCAUAAGCAAUAACUUCAAAUUUGGGGUCAUCUACCAGAAACCUGGACAGACAACUGAAGAAGAAGUCUUCAGUAACACAGUAGAGAGUCAGGGUUUCCUGGAGUUCCUGGAUUUCCUUGGUGACAAGAUUCAGCUGCAGGAUUUCCGUGGGUUCCGGGGAGGCUUGGAUGUUACCAGAGGUCAAACAGGCACUGAGUCUGUCUAUACAAAUUUCCGGGGGAAGGAGAUCAUGUUUCACGUAUCUACAAAGCUGCCCUUCACAGAGGGAGAUUCACAACAGCUUCAGCGGAAGCGUCACAUUGGGAAUGACAUUGUAGCCAUCAUCUUCCAGGAUGAAAGCACACCUUUUGUCCCUGAUAUGAUUGCUUCUAAUUUCCUACAUGCUUAUGUGGUAGUUCAGCUCACUCAUAGCACCACUGGGGACACUCUCUACAAGGUUUCAGUCACAGCCCGAGAUGAUGUCCCCUUCUUUGGACCCCCUCUGCCAAAUCCAGCCAUAUUUAAAAAGAGUGCAGAAUUUCGUGAAUUCCUUCUGGUCAAGCUCAUCAAUGCUGAGUACAGCUGCUAUCGAGCUGAGAAAUUUGCUAAAUUAGAGGAAAGAACACGGAGUGCCCUCUUGGAGAGCCUUUUUGAGGAGCUGCAGCUUCGCAGCCGCAGUAUGAUGGGAUUACCCACAGGGGAGGAUGACAAGAUAGAGAAUGGCAGUGGGGGCUUCCUGGAAAAUUUCAAGCGGGUGAUCAGAGGCCGCAGCCAGAGCCUGGAUACCAUGGGGAUAUCCAUGAGAAAGCAGCAGCCAGCCCUGCCCAGCCGCCCAGCUACAGCUGGCCUUGCCCUCAGCCAGAGUGUCGCCGAGGGCCCUAAGGCCAUUGCUGCGUCUUUUGCCUUGCCUGGUAGGAGCCCAUCACGUACUCGAGCCAGCCGCUUCCAUGGGCGACGGAGUAGUGCCAUUGGCAUUGAGAACAUACAGGAGGAAAAGAGCAGAGACACUGCAGAGAGGAUACAGAGGGUGUUGGACAGUCCAGGAACUUUCUUUGACCUGAAGUCUGAUGGAUCAUCCAGUCCCAGCUCCCCAGAGUUCCCCAGCAGGAAGAGCAAAAUGCUCAGGAGUCACACUUCAGGAUACUGUGUGAUGCAGCCACUCUCACGUUCUUCAUCCAGUGUAAGCAGUUGUUGUAGUGGAUUAAGGGAAAAUGGAGCAUCUGAGGAAGAGGAGAAUGACAGGGAGCUGACGUGCUCUCUUGAGGGCCCUCCAAAACAGGAUUCAAUGGUUCAGAAUAUGUGGCUGGAUGACAGUGACUGCACACCCAGUACUUCUAGCUCACCAGGAAGCAGGUUGCUUCCUUCCAGCAGUGUUGCUGGCUCCACUGGAAAAGGAAAAGGCAGCAAAGCAGAUGCUCAGCACCAUAAUCCAGCCUCCAUUUUGUGCUGUGUGUGAUGUCACCGCUGGAGGACUGUCUUGGUGCACACUGGGUGAGGAGCACAGGUAAUGGACGUGGAGGAGCGCUGUAGGCCCUUGGCUCAGGAUGGAGGCAGGCCCUGGGCCAUCCCUGGCCUCACUGAAACAGUGCAGCAAUUACUGUAGGGCUCCACAGUAAACAGAGUUAAUCCUAUACCUUCUUCCCCAAACGAUCUUCCAUGGCCAGCUGACUCUGGCCUGCCUAAUGUACCUAAGCUCUCCCUUUCUUGGUUGCCUCCUUCCUCUCAGGGAACAGCAUUUCCCAUUGAGACACUGCUCUCUGCCCUAAUCUAGGCACAGUUUUUUUCCUCCUCUUUUUUGUUUGUUUGUUCAAUUUCCUUUGCUCAGAUGCAAUCUAGCUUUCUCUGUGCCUAUCUACUGCUUCUUAUAGUUUCAUACUCUACAGAACCCCUUUCUUUUGCUCAUUUUGUAAUGUUGUGCCUAUCUGUUCACUUGCUUGUUUGCUUUUAGCCUAGUAUUGCUGGGACCUACUUGUCCACGCCAGUUUCACAGCUUUUCCAGACAUGGGAAGUGGGACUUGAUCUCCUGGAGAGAUCUGUAAUAGAGCAAAGGGGAACACACCUUCAGGAUUUGCUGUUCAAAUGAACAAGUGUGAACAUGCUUUACCUUAAAGUUCAGAAAAAGACAAAAACCAGAAUUCCAGCUGCUGCUAGUUCUUCUGCUUCAUUCAGUGAUGCAUCAGAGACAGCCUGGGAUGAUUGAGAAAUCAAGCUUCAUACAAAUCAAAUUAGUUUCAAUGUGCUACUCCAAUUCAGCCAAUACAGGGCCAGGAUCAAACUGUUUCCAUGGAAAUUUCUUAAUUUUAUUGUUUCCACACCCUUCCCUCUACAGACUAUGUGAUGGAAAGUCCCUCAUAGCCAUAUCCAAAUCACUUUUGGAUAGGCAGCAGUUAGGGCAUCCUUGAGGAAGCAAAAUACAAUCUGGUUCAGUUACCAGCUAAACUUGCAUGGUGAUCACCACUGUCCUGUGAAGACAUUACUGUAAAACUUGCAUUAACUAAAACCCCCUGCAAAGUCUGGGAUUGGUGCUGCACAUGUAUGGUGGUUUCCUCAAAUGUCAGUCACUGCAGAGCAAGGUGCACAAAAUACUGUUCAGGAUGGGGACAGUUCCUUUUGAAAUACUUGAUUGGUUCCCUAGACUUUUCUUUGGGCUUGAAUUGUGUCCCCUCCAGUUGCCACGCUGCUAAGUAAAAGGAAGCAUGAAUACCUUAUCCUGUGCUUCUAGUGCCUAUGUAGUAUAUUGGAUUUAAAAUAAAAGAAGAAUAUGGCCAGCUUCUCUUAG